AACGAACGCUGGCGGCAUGCCUAACACAUGCAAGUCGAACGCCCUGCAAGGGGAGUGGCGAACGGGUGAGUAACGCGUGGGAACCUACCUAGCGAUGGGGGAUAACCGAGGGAAACUUCGGCUAAUACCGCAUACGCCCCUACGGGGGAAGAUUAUCGUCGUUGGAGGGCCCGCGUCGAUUAGCUAGUUGGUGAGGUAAUGGCUCACCAAGGCAUCGAUCGGUAGCUGGUCUGAGAGGANGAUCAGCCACACUGGGACUGCGACACGGCCCAGACUCCUACGGGAGGCAGCAGUGGGGAAGUAUUGGACAAUGGGGGCGAACCCUGAUCCAGCAAUGCCGCGUGAGUGAUGAAGGCCUUAGGGUUGUAAAGCUCUUUUACC
RNAcentral lists this ribosomal RNA (381 nucleotides) under uncultured bacterium. RNAcentral describes it as "bacterial SSU rRNA". It matches the Rfam family "Bacterial small subunit ribosomal RNA", at positions 29 to 440 of the family's 1533-position model. The record is from RNAcentral.